CCUACGGGCGGCAGCAGUCGAGAAUCAUUCACAAUGGGGGAAACCCUGAUGGUGCGACGCCGCGUGGGGGAAUGAAGGUCUUCGGAUUGUAAACCCCUGUCAUGUGGGAGCAAAUUAAAAAGAUAGUACCACAAGAGGAAGAGACGGCUAACUCUGUGCCAGCAGCCGCGGUAAUACAGAGGUCUCAAGCGUUGUUCGGAAUCACUGGGCGUAAGGCGUGCGUAGGCUGUGUCGUAAGUCGUGUGUGAAAGGCGCGGGCUCAACCCGCGGACGGCACAUGAUACUGCGAGACUAGAGUAAUGGAGGGGGAACCGGAAUUCUCGGUGUAGCAGUGAAAUGCGUAGAUAUCGAGAGGAACACUCGUGGCGAAGGCGGGUUCCUGGACAUUAACUGACGCUGAGGCACGAAGGCCAGGGGAGCGAAAGGGAUUAGAUACCCCGGUAGUC
This 446-nucleotide ribosomal RNA is filed under the name uncultured bacterium. RNAcentral describes it as "partial 16S ribosomal RNA". It matches the Rfam family "Bacterial small subunit ribosomal RNA", at positions 338 to 795 of the family's 1533-position model. The record is from RNAcentral.